RNAcentral lists this ribosomal RNA (253 nucleotides) under uncultured bacterium. Its description in RNAcentral is "partial 16S ribosomal RNA". It matches the Rfam family "Bacterial small subunit ribosomal RNA", at positions 524 to 776 of the family's 1533-position model. The record is from RNAcentral.
UACGUAGGUGGCAAGCGUUAUCCGGAUUUACUGGGUGUAAAGGGAGCGUAGACGGCAUGGCAAGUCAGAUGUGAAAGCCCGGGGCUCAACCCCGGGACUGCAUUUGAAACUGUCAGGCUGGAGUGCAGGAGAGGUAAGCGGAAUUCCUAGUGUAGCGGUGAAAUGCGUAGAUAUUAGGAGGAACACCAGUGGCGAAGGCGGCUUACUGGACUGUAACUGACGUUGAGGCUCGAAAGCGUGGGGAGCAAAUAGG